This 253-nucleotide ribosomal RNA is filed under the name uncultured bacterium. RNAcentral describes it as "partial 16S ribosomal RNA". It matches the Rfam family "Bacterial small subunit ribosomal RNA", at positions 524 to 776 of the family's 1533-position model. The record is from RNAcentral.
UACGGAGGGGGCUAGCGUUAUUCGGAAUUACUGGGCGUAAAGAGCGCGUAGGCGGUUUAUUAAGUUGGAAGUGAAAGCCCAGGGCUUAACCUUGGAACUGCUUUCAAAACUGAUAAGCUAGAGGUUGAUAGGGGAUAGCGGAAUUCCUAGUGUAGAGGUGAAAUUCUUAGAUAUUAGGAGGAACACCGGAGGCGAAGGCGGCUAUCUGGAUCAAUACUGACGCUGAGGUGCGAAAGCGUGGGGAGCAAACAGG